GACGGAGGGGGCUAGCGUUGUUCGGAAUUACUGGGCGUAAAGAGCACGUAGGUGGUCUAGUAAGUUAGAAGUGAAAGCCCGAGGCUCAACCUCGGAAUAGCUUUUAAAACUGCUAGACUAGAGUAUAGUAGGGGAUGGUGGAAUUCCUAGUGUAGAGGUGGAAUUCUUAGAUAUUAGGAGGAACACCGGUGGCGAAGGCGACCAUCUGGGCUAUUACUGACACUGAGGUGCGAAAGCGUGGGGAGCAAACAGG
This 253-nucleotide unclassified non-coding RNA is filed under the name uncultured Rickettsiales bacterium. Its description in RNAcentral is "contains 16S-23S intergenic spacer region". It matches the Rfam family "Bacterial small subunit ribosomal RNA", at positions 524 to 776 of the family's 1533-position model. The record is from RNAcentral. Lineage: Bacteria; Pseudomonadati; Pseudomonadota; Alphaproteobacteria; Rickettsiales.